AGUAAUACAUAAGUAACCUGGCUCUACAGGGGGAGUAACUGAUGGAAACGACUGCUAAUACCGCAUAAGCCCACAGGUCGGCAUCGACCAGAGGGAAAAGGAGCAAUCCGCUUUGAGAUGGCCUCGCGUCCGAUUAGCUAGUUGGUGAGGUAAUAGCCCACCAAGGCGACGAUCGGUAGCCGGACUGAGAGGUUGAACGGCCACAUUGGGACUGAGACACGGCCCAG
Molecule: ribosomal RNA, 227 nt
Filed under: uncultured bacterium
Lineage: Bacteria
Description: partial 16S ribosomal RNA
Rfam family: Bacterial small subunit ribosomal RNA
Source: RNAcentral